Molecule: ribosomal RNA, 497 nt
Filed under: uncultured bacterium
Lineage: Bacteria
Description: partial 16S ribosomal RNA
Rfam family: Bacterial small subunit ribosomal RNA
Source: RNAcentral
GAUGAACGCUGGCGGCGUGCCUAAUACAUGCAAGUCGAGCGAACGGACGAGAAGCUUGCUUCUCUGAUGUUAGCGGCGGACGGGUGAGUAACACGUGGAUAACCUACCUAUAAGACUGGGAUAACUUCGGGAAACCGGAGCUAAUACCGGAUAAUAUUUUGAACCGCAUGGUUCAACAGUGAAAGACGGUCUUGCUGUCACUUAUAGAUGGAUCCGCGCUGCAUUAGCUAGUUGGUAAGGUAACGGCUUACCAAGGCAACGAUGCAUAGCAGACCUGAGAGGGUGAUCGGCCACACUGGAACUGAGACACGGUCCAGACUCCUACGGGAGGCAGCAGUAGGGAAUCUUCCGCAAUGGGCGAAAGCCUGACGGAGCAACGCCGCGUGAGUGAUGAAGGUCUUCGGAUCGUAAAACUCUGUUAUUAGGGAAGAACAAAUGUGUAAGUAACUAUGCACAUCUUGACGGUACCUAAUCAGAAAGCCACGGCUAACUACGUG